Molecule: ribosomal RNA, 329 nt
Filed under: uncultured eukaryote
Lineage: Eukaryota
Description: partial 18S ribosomal RNA
Rfam family: Eukaryotic small subunit ribosomal RNA
Source: RNAcentral
CCCUUAGAUGUCCUGGGCUGCACGCGCGCUACACUGACGAACCCAACGAGCUUAUCACCUUGGCAGAGAUGUCUGGGUAAUCUUUUGAAAGUUCGUCGUGCUGGGGAUAGAUGAUUGUAAUUAUUCGUCUUGAACGAGGAAUUCCUAGUAAGUGUGAGUCAUCAGCUCGCGCUGAUUACGUCCCUGCCCUUUGUACACACCGCCCGUCGCUCCUACCGAUUGAAUGGUCCGGUGAGGUUCUCGGAUUUUUUCUGUUGUUUGGUUCGCUAAACGAUUGAAGAGAGAAGUUACCCAAACCUUACCAUUUAGAGGAAGGAGAAGUCGUAACA